RNAcentral lists this transfer RNA (93 nucleotides) under Acetobacteraceae bacterium. Its description in RNAcentral is "tRNA-Ser". It matches the Rfam family "tRNA". From Rfam's summary of the family: Transfer RNA (tRNA) molecules are approximately 80 nucleotides in length. Their secondary structure includes four short double-helical elements and three loops (D, anti-codon, and T loops). The record is from RNAcentral. RNAcentral also lists the same sequence under 2 other names. Lineage: Bacteria; Pseudomonadati; Pseudomonadota; Alphaproteobacteria; Acetobacterales; Acetobacteraceae.
GGAGGGGUGGCCGAGUGGCCGAAGGCGGCGGUUUGCUAAACCGUUAGGCGGGGAUAACCCGCCUCGUGGGUUCGAAUCCCAUCCCCUCCGCCA